UGAUGAACUUUGUGAGGUUGAAUGUCCAUGUGGCAUACAGUUUUGUUUUAGUUGUUUAUCUGAAGCUCAUUCACCUUGUUCUUGUCUCAUGUGGGAACUCUGGUCCAAGAAGUGCCAGGAUGAAUCAGAGACGGUUAAUUGGAUUGCAAUCAACACAAAGCCUUGUCCAAAGUGCCAGGAUGAAUCAGAGACGGUUAAUUGGAUUACAAUCAACACAAAGCCUUGUCCAAAAUGCCACAAGCCAGUUGAAAAGAAUGGAGGCUGCAACCAUGUAUCCUGUUUAUGUGGGCAAUCAUUUUGGUGAGAGCUCUUAUCUUUGUCUCUUGUAGAUAAUGGUUUGUGAUUUCUUGUUCCAUUUUGCAACAUAAUUAAAGGUAUGGACAUAAAAUCUUGGUAAGGAAGUUUUGACUGGAGGAAUUACCAAAAGGGCCUGUCACAUUUUACUUUGAUUGCCU
Molecule: long non-coding RNA, 455 nt
Filed under: Durio zibethinus
Lineage: Eukaryota; Viridiplantae; Streptophyta; Magnoliopsida; Malvales; Malvaceae
Description: long non-coding RNA (DZIB_LNC001012)
Source: RNAcentral